Molecule: non-coding RNA, 625 nt
Organism: Perca fluviatilis (European perch)
Lineage: Eukaryota; Metazoa; Chordata; Actinopteri; Perciformes; Percidae
Source: the annotation of a RefSeq genome assembly
GUGAACUUCCUCACAGUCUGCUAUAAAGACUUGAUAUCAUGCUGUCAGUUGCAGCAGAAGAAGAGAAGCUCCCAUCAGAUCACCUUCAAUAGCAACCAUGUUCUCUGUAGCUCUGCUGCUGCUGCUGGCUGCUGGAUCCUGUGUGAACAGUAUUGAUCUCAUCCAGACAGACUCAAUGGUUGUGCAGCCUGGACAGUCUCUGACCAUCAGCUGUCAGGUCUCUGGUUAUUCUUUGACUGAUAACAGCUAUGCAACAGGUUGGAUCAGACAGAGUGAAGGAAAACCAAUGGACUGGAUUUGCCAUCGGUGGGGUAGAGGAGACUUUUACCAAAAUAAUGUCCUGAAGAACAAGUUCCUUUACCACACACUCACGUCUACUAGCUCGGUGACAUUAACAGGACAGAAUCUGCAGCCUGAGGACACAGCUGUGUAUUACUGUUUGCAGCAGAAGAAGAGAAGCUCCCAUCAGAUCACGUUCAAUAGCAACCAUGUUCUCUGUAGCUCUGCUGCUGCUGCUGGCUGCUGGAUCCUGUGUGAAGUGUUAACAGUUGACCCAGCCAGCCUCUGUGACUGUGCAGCCAGGUCUACGUCUGACCAUCACCUGUCAGGUGUUGCAGGGUCAUGA